RNAcentral lists this ribosomal RNA (486 nucleotides) under uncultured Glomeromycotina. RNAcentral's name for it is "SSU rRNA". It matches the Rfam family "Eukaryotic small subunit ribosomal RNA", at positions 562 to 1052 of the family's 1831-position model. Lineage: Eukaryota; Fungi; Glomeromycota. The record is from RNAcentral.
UGGUGCCAGCAGCCGCGGUAAUUCCAGCUCCAAUAGCGUAUAUUAAAGUUGUUGCAGUUAAAAAGCUCGUAGUUGAAUUUCGGGAUGAUCAGGUUGGUCGUGCCAUUGGUAUGUACUAGCUUUGGUGGUUCCUACCUCUUGAAGAACCGUAAUGUCAUUAACUUGGUGUUGCGGGGAAUCAGGACUGUUACUUUGAAAAAAUUAGAGCGUUUAAAGCAGGCAAACGCUUGAAUACAUUAGCAUGGAAUAAUGAAAUAGGACGUUUGAUCUUAUUUUGUUGGUUUCUAGGAUCGACGUAAUGAUUAAUAGGGAUAGUUGGGGGCAUUAGUAUUCAAUUGUCAGAGGUGAAAUUCUUGGAUUUAUUGAAGACUAACUACUGCGAAAGCAUUUGCCAAGGAUGUUUUCAUUAAUCAAGAACGAAAGUUAGGGGAUCGAAGACGAUCAGAUACCGUCGUAGUCUUAACCAUAAACUAUGCCGACUAGGGA